Molecule: ribosomal RNA, 508 nt
Filed under: uncultured bacterium
Lineage: Bacteria
Description: partial 16S ribosomal RNA
Rfam family: Bacterial small subunit ribosomal RNA
Source: RNAcentral
GAUGAACGCUAGCUACAGGCUUAACACAUGCAAGUCGAGGGGAAACGGUAGAGAAAGCUUGCUUUUUCUAGGCGUCGACCGGCGCACGGGUGAGUAACGCGUAUCCAACCUGCCCACCACUUGGGAAUAACCUUGCGAAAGUAAGACUAAUACCCAAUGAUAUCUCUAGAAGACAUCUGAAGGAGAUUAAAGAUUUAUCGGUGAUGGAUGGGGAUGCGUCUGAUUAGCUUGUUGGCGGGGUAACGGCCCACCAAGGCGACGAUCAGUAGGGGUUCUGAGAGGAAGGUCCCCAACAUUGGAACUGAGACACGGUCCAAACUCCUACGGGAGGCAGCAGUGAGGAAUAUUGGUCAAUGGGCGAGAGCCUGAACCAGCCAAGUAGCGUGCAGGAUGACGGCCCUAUGGGUUUUAAACUGCUUUUAUAAGGGAAUAAAGUUAGCCUCGUGAGGCUUUUUGCAUGUACCUUAUGAAUAAGGACCGGCUAAUUCCGUGCCAGCAGCCGCGGUAA